Molecule: ribosomal RNA, 1016 nt
Filed under: Deinococcus sp. Leaf326
Lineage: Bacteria; Thermotogati; Deinococcota; Deinococci; Deinococcales; Deinococcaceae
Description: Bacterial large subunit ribosomal RNA
Rfam family: Bacterial large subunit ribosomal RNA
Source: Rfam by way of RNAcentral
GACCGAUAGCGAACMAGUACCGUGAGGGAAAGGUGAAAAGCACCCCGAYRAGGGGAGUGAAACAGUUCCUGAAACCGGAUGCUUACAAACAGUGGGAGCCAUCAUUGGUGACCGCGUACCUUUUGUAUAAUGGGUCAGCGACUUAAAGUUACGAGCRAGCUUAAGCCGRUAGGUGKAGGCGYAGCGAAAGCGAGUCUGAACAGGGCGUUCAGUUCGUGGSWUUAGACCCGAAACCGRGUGAUCUAGCCAUGWGCAGGMUGAAGGUGSGGUAACACSCACUGRAGGKCCGAACCAGUGCCCGUUGAAAAGGUCUUGGAUGACKUGUGGCUAGGGGUGAAAGGCCAAUCAARCYSGGARAUAGCUGGUUCUCCGCGAAAWCUAUUKAGGUAGWGCSUCGGAUGAAUACYCCAGGGGGUAGAGCACUGGAUGGGCUAGGGGGACUCACCGUCUUACCAAACCUAACCAAACUCCGAAUACCUGGRAGUACURYCCGGSAGACACACGGCGGGUGCUAACGUCCGUCGUGGAGAGGGMAACAACCCUGACCWMCAKCUAAGGYCCCCAAGUYAUGGCUAAGUGGGAAAGGAUGUGRRRAUCCCAAAACAACCAGGAKGUUGGCUUAGAAGCAGCCAUCMUUUAAAGAAAGCGUAACAGCUCACUGGUCUAAUUAAGGGUCUUUGCGCCGAAAAUGUACCGGGGCUCAAGCCAUACACCGAAGCUGUGGAUUGUCCGAUCUUGAUCGGGCAGUGGUAGCGGAGCGUUCCCUAGGCCGUUGAAGCCGUACCCGUGAGGGGCKGUGGAGGUAUSGGAAGUGCGAAUGCWGACAUGAGUARCGAUAAAGRGUGUGARAGACACCCUCGCCGAAAGUCCAAGGGUUCCUGCUUAAAGUUAAUCUGAGCAGGGUUAGYCGGCCCCUAAGGCGAGGCCGAAAGGCGUAGUCGAUGGGAACCACGUUAAUAAUCGUGGGCCUGGUGGAGAGUGACGGAUCCCGUGUAUCGUAUGGUCUUAUUGGAUUG